Molecule: ribosomal RNA, 476 nt
Filed under: Megasphaera geminata
Lineage: Bacteria; Bacillati; Bacillota; Negativicutes; Veillonellales; Veillonellaceae
Description: bacterial SSU rRNA
Rfam family: Bacterial small subunit ribosomal RNA
Source: RNAcentral
GACGAACGCUGGCGGCGUGCGUAACACAUGCAAGUCGAACGAGAGAGUGAGAGAAGCUUGCUUUUCUUAUGAUCGAGUGGCAAACGGGUGAGUAACGCGUAAACAACCUGCCCCGCAGAUGCGACAACAGCUGGAAACGGCUGCUAAUACCGAAUACGGUCCUCUUAGCGCAUGGUAAGAGGAAGAAAGGGUGGCCUCUGGAACAAGCUACCGCUGUGGGAGGGGUUUGCGUCUGAUUAGCUGGUUGGAGGGGUAACGGCCCACCAAGGCGACGAUCAGUAGCCGGUCUGAGAGGAUGAACGGCCACAUUGGAACUGAGACACGGUCCAGACUCCUACGGGAGGCAGCAGUGGGGAAUCUUCCGCAAUGGGCGAAAGCCUGACGGAGCAACGCCGCGUGAGUGAAGACGGCCUUCGGGUUGUAAAGCUCUGUUAUAGGGGACGAACGGCCGGGUAGCGAAGAGUACCCGGCAUGAC